RNAcentral lists this unclassified non-coding RNA (621 nucleotides) under Hevea brasiliensis (rubber tree). The record is from RNAcentral. Lineage: Eukaryota; Viridiplantae; Streptophyta; Magnoliopsida; Malpighiales; Euphorbiaceae.
GCCUCUAAAUGGAAUCAUUCAUGUUUCAAUGACUGUUAUUGGUACACAAUCAACUUGAUAGUGAAGUUUGGUGUUAGAAAUAAGUGGCCAUUUGCCCGAAACCAGAAAAGCACCAAGCGGUUGUGUUAUCAAAUGUUAAUAUUGCUCUUAUUUGUUUUUCUUGUUUUCCCAUGCCACUACUGUCAAUGUAUAGUUAAGGCGGCAUUAGGAAAAAAGCAAAACUUUAUUCUGUUAUUUCUGGGAUCUUGCAGUAAAGCGUGAACACUUCUUCCGACUGGUUUUGCUAAGUGCACAGACACAAGUCUCAAGAAGAUCAUAGUCCUCAUCCCACAGCAACAAUGAUGCCUUCUCUGGGUUCUCCAAAAGCAUCUUUGAUGUCAGGAAACCAGCAACUGUCCACGUCUGAAAAAGCCGGGAUUGUUUACCUAUAAACCUUCCACUGCGCGUGUCAUAGUAUUCAGGCCACUGAUCCCGUAACAAUCUUUUCUCGGCCAAAUCAACUGCCCUCUGUGCUAAUUCUGGUCUCCCCAUCUUUAUACAUGCCAAUGUGAACUGCCAUAGGAGGGUUGGCCAAGAUCCUCCAUUAUGGUAUGACCAUGGGGUAUUCUUUGGGUCACUGCC